UUUACUAAUAUUUCUCUCUUUUUUCAGCACUGAUAACCUCUAAACUCUUGUCGCACUGCUCGGUUGUUCAAACUUUAUAAAUAAUUAUAAUCAUAUCUUACAAUAACUAGAUAUUAAUUAAUAUAUCACUAAUAUGGAAGUAACAUAUUAUUUUAAUUAUCAUCGCGUCAUCAAUCAUAAUACUGUUAUCUCGCUUCUACAUUAGUGAUAUAUUAAAUAUUUAGUCAGCAAAAUUAUAUUAUCAAAUUUGAUGGUAAAAAUUUAAAAAAUUUGAGGUAUAAAUUAUAAUAAAUUAAA
This 297-nucleotide long non-coding RNA is filed under the name Ananas comosus (pineapple). Its description in RNAcentral is "long non-coding RNA (ACOM_LNC017197)". Lineage: Eukaryota; Viridiplantae; Streptophyta; Magnoliopsida; Poales; Bromeliaceae. The record is from RNAcentral.